AUUGAACGCUGGCGGCAUGCCUUACACAUGCAAGUCGAACGGCAGCAUGAUCUAGCUUGCUAGAUUGAUGGCGAGUGGCGAACGGGUGAGUAAUACAUCGGAACGUGCCCUGUAGUGGGGGAUAACUAGUCGAAAGAUUAGCUAAUACCGCAUACGACCUGAGGGUGAAAGUGGGGGACCGCAAGGCCUCAUGCUAUAGGAGCGGCCGAUGUCUGAUUAGCUAGUUGGUGGGGUAAAGGCCCACCAAGGCGACGAUCAGUAGCUGGUCUGGAAGGACGAUCAGCCACACUGGGACUGAGACACGGCCCAGACUCCUACGGGAGGCAGCAGUGGGGAAUUUUGGACAAUGGGGGCAACCCUGAUCCAGCAAUGCCGCGUGUGUGAAGAAGGCCUUCGGGUUGUAAAGCACUUUUGUCCGGAAAGAAAUCGCACUUACUAAUAUUAGGUGUGGAUGACGGUACCGGAAGAAUAAGGACCGGCUGACUACGUGCCAGCCGCCGCCGUAA
RNAcentral lists this ribosomal RNA (506 nucleotides) under uncultured bacterium. RNAcentral's name for it is "partial 16S ribosomal RNA". It matches the Rfam family "Bacterial small subunit ribosomal RNA", at positions 30 to 523 of the family's 1533-position model. The record is from RNAcentral.